UGCUGUGGUUCUAUAUCUUUACACACGCUCUGUAAUAAAGUCUCAUGGAAUGUAUGCAGCGUUUAACGCAAUACAAUACAACUUUCAGCAACGGAUCUCUUGGCUCUCGCAUCGAUGAAGAACGCAGCGAAAUGCGAUAAGUAAUGUGAAUUGCAGAAUUCAGUGAAUCAUCGAAUCUUUGAACGCACCUUGCGCCCUUUGGCUAUUCCGAAGGGCAUGCCUGUUUGAGUAUCAUGAACACAUCAACUCUCAUGGUUUGCCAUGAUGAGCUUGGACUUUGGGGGUCUUGCUGGCCUGCGGUCGGCUCCCCUAAAAUGAAUCAGCUUUCCAGUGUUUGGUGGCGUCACGGGUGUGAUAAAUAUCUACGCUCGUGGUUUCCUGCCAGGUAACCUUCAGUGAUGGAGGUUCGCUGGGGCUCAUAAACGUCUCUCCUCAGUGAAGACA
This 444-nucleotide small RNA is filed under the name Tomentella sp. 4 g3-8-2. RNAcentral's name for it is "eukaryotic LSU rRNA". The stretch from base 80 to 234 matches the Rfam family "5.8S ribosomal RNA". The record is from RNAcentral. Lineage: Eukaryota; Fungi; Basidiomycota; Agaricomycetes; Thelephorales; Thelephoraceae.